Molecule: small nucleolar RNA, 101 nt
Gene: U3
Rfam family: Small nucleolar RNA U3
About the family: Small nucleolar RNAs (snoRNAs) are involved in the processing and modification of rRNA in the nucleolus. There are two main classes of snoRNAs: the box C/D class, and the box H/ACA class.
Source: Ensembl
AAGACUAUACUUUCAGGGAUCAUUUCUAUAGUUCGUUACUAGAGUUAUUGACAGUUAUGAGCUGCUGUGUAGAUGCUGGGAACCAAACUAUGGUCCUCUGA